Molecule: long non-coding RNA, 349 nt
Organism: Symphalangus syndactylus (siamang)
Lineage: Eukaryota; Metazoa; Chordata; Mammalia; Primates; Hylobatidae
Source: RefSeq, a predicted model, not a curated record
CCUCUCUAUGGUCCAGAAUUAUCUUCCCUAAUAUGCAGAGAACAAACAGAGCCUCUGGGAGGCAAAAAGUUCUGCCACUGCUUGGAGAGAUGCUUUUCCCAGGUAGCUGCUGCUUCUCCAGCCUGGACCCCAGAAUAAGUAUGCAUUGAACAGAGCCACCUCAGCCAUCUGCAGACCUGCAGUAUGAAGUAGAGCCAGCCCAACUGACCCUCAGACCCAUGAUUGUUGAGAUUCAAAGAAGACUUCGAGGAGGAGAAAGACUGUGUGGUUUCAAGCAAAGAGUUAAUUAUCAUGAGUGGGAAAAUGGAACAAAGAGGUGAGAUGGAGGUUGGAAAUGACCAGAAGCCAC